CAUCUCAGCCUCCCAAAGUGCUCAGAUACAGGCAUAUGCCACUGCAUCUGGCCAAGAUUACCAUUUUCUGAAAAGCAGUAGCAGAAGUUCAUGAGAUUUUGAAUAUGAAUCUGAAACCCAUGUAAAAGUUUCAUUUUUGUUCUUGUGACUUAGUUUCUGGUAUUUUAUUAAAUAAAAUGGUUUCUAGCUUGACGUAGAUUUCAGUUCAUGAGUUCUAUUAAAAUUCCUUCCCUGAAACAACUUGCUACUUUUGCUUGUGUGUCUGGCAUUAAUUUUCUUUUCAUAUUAGCAUUGCAGUUUAGCAUUAAGUGAAAGCAGAUUCAUGGUAAUUAACAAAGGAAUUACAAAUGGCCACCACAAAUACUGAAAGAAGUCAUUGAUUUGAUAUUGCAGUGAAUACCAGAGGUUGUAGUGAUUUUCCACUUAUAAAAAGUGAAUUGUCCAUUUAACUGUGGAAGUCUAAGCAAAUGUACUUAAUGUAUGUUGUAUUAGUCAAUGCAAAAAGUUAAAUAUGCCCAGGCUGAAAGAAAGCAUAUACUGUAUGGUCAUUCCUAUGCCAAAUGAUUUCUUUGGAAUUUAAACAAAUUUGUCAAGUAUUUUGUUCCUAAUUUAGGAAUAAAAAGCAGCUAAUGAUUUCUGACAUCGUACAUAGAUUAGUAGCACAUAACUCUGUUAUUUAGUAAUCACUAUAGAUAGUAAGGAAUUAAAGUUGUUAGUGAGGAAAACAGGAGUAUCCUGCCAUUUGCUUUCGUUCUUUUUGUGAUAGUUUUGAGGUGCGAUCAAUCCUGUGUGCAAGUCACUCAAGCAACCAGAAAGUGUCUUUGUAAUAUGCAUUGGUUUUCAUCUCAUGAAGUUCCAAUUAUUUAUCAUCCUUGCCACUCUUUGGCAAUUACAUUGAUUUCAAAAAGGAAUUCUGAUUCAUCUUAGUGUUUCAUAGAAUUGAAACACAAAAUAGCUUUACAGGUUUAAAGUUAUGAUAAGAAAAAGUCAUAGAGUUUUCUGAUGUUUUAAUAAUGACAUUGUUGGAAAAGUCAGUACCUGUCAUAUAGCUCACAUAACAUUCUUCUUGCAGAGUGAACGAGAAAAGAGGAGCUUUGUUUUUCAUCCUUUUUUUGUAGGCAGUGCUGAUCAAAUCAAGAAAUUAUUUUGGGGGAGCGGCAAGAUGGCGGCGCGGACAGCGCUCGGGGCCGUGUGCCAGCGCCUCUGGCAGGGAUUGGAGAAUUUUUCUGUAAACAGUUAUAAGGGCAGUACCGCCAAAAAUGGUGGCUUUCUUCUUACCAGUAUGAAGUGGGUACGGUUUUCAAAUCUACAUGUUGAUGUUCCAAAGGAUUUGACCAAACCUGUGAUAAGGAUCUCUGAUGAACCAGACACAUUAUAUAAGCGCCUGUUGGUUUUAGUGAAAGGACACGAUAGGGCUGUAUUGGACAGCUAUGAAUAUUUUGCUGUGCUUGCUGCUAAAGAACUUGGUAUCUCUAUUAAAGUACACAAACCUCCAAGGAAAAUAGAGCGAUUUACCCUUCUCAAAUCGGUGCAUAUUUACAAGAAGCACAGAGUUCAGUAUGAAAUGAGAACACUUUACAGAUGUUUAGAGUUAGAACAUCUAACUGGAAGCACAGCAGAUGUCUACUUAGAAUAUAUUCAGCGAAACUUACCUGAAGGAGUUGCCAUGGAAGUAACAAAGACACAAAUAGUACAGUUACCAGAACACAUCAAGGAGCCAAUCUGGGAAACAGUGUCAGAAGAAAAAGAAGAAAACAAGUCCUAAAGCCUCAGGGAGGCCAUUUGUACCUGAAUUUGAAAUGAGGGUGGGCCAGAUGAGUAUGUUUAAAGGGGGGGGCUUCCCCUUGG
Molecule: RNA transcript, 1848 nt
Organism: Sapajus apella (tufted capuchin)
Lineage: Eukaryota; Metazoa; Chordata; Mammalia; Primates; Cebidae
Gene name: 28S ribosomal protein S10, mitochondrial pseudogene
Exons: 1
Source: RefSeq, a predicted model, not a curated record